GAGUUAGGGUUAGUGUUGGAGCUAGGGUUAGGGUUGGGCUUGGAGCUAGGACUUUUCUGAGUGCAAUGAACCAACUCCCGAGUCUCUAGGAGUUCCUAAAAAAAUUUGAUUUUUUCCCAUAGGAAUGCAUGGGUUAGGGUUAGGGUUAGGGUUGGAGCUAGGGUUAGGGUUAGGGUUAGGGUUGGAGUUAGGGUUAGUGUUGGAGCUAGGGUUAGGGUUGGGCUUGGAGCUAGGAUUUUUCUGAGUGCACUGAACCAACUCCCGAGUCUCUAGGACAUUCCUAAAAAAAUUUGAUUUUUUCCCAUAGGAAUGCAUGGGUUAGGGUUAUGGUUAGGGUUAGGGUUGGAGCUAGGGUUAGGGUUAGGGUUAGGGUUGGAGUUAGGGUUAGUGUUGGAGCUAGGGUUAGGGUUGGGCUUGGAGCUAGGAUUUUUCUGAGUGCACUGAACCAACUCCCGAGUCUCUAGGACAUUCCUAAAAAAAUUUGAUUUUUUCCCAUAGGAAUGCAUGGGUUAGGGUUAUGGUUAGGGUUAGGGUUGGAGCUAGGGUUAGGGUUAGGGUUAGGGUUGGAGUUAGGGUUAGUGUUGGAGCUAGGGUUAGGGUUGGGCUUGGAGCUAGGAUUUUUCUGAGUGCACUGAACCAACUCCCGAGUCUCUAGGACAUUCCUAAAAAAAUUUGAUUUUUUCCCAUAGGAAUGCAUGGGUUAGGGGGUUAGGGUUAGGGUUGGAGCUAGGGUUAGGGUUAGGGUUAGGGUUGGAGUUAGGGUUAGUGUUGGAGCUAGGGUUAGGGUUGGGCUUGGAGCUAGGAUUUUUCUGAGUGCACUGAACCAACUCCCGAGUCUCUAGGACAUUCCUAAAAAAAUUUGAUUUUUUCCCAUAGGAAUGCAUGGGUUAGGGGUUAGGGUUAGGGUUGGAGCUAGGGUUAGGGUUAGGGUUAGGGUUGGAGUUAGGGUUAGUGUUGGAGCUAGGGUUAGGGUUGGGCUUGGAGCUAGGAUUUUUCUGAGUGCACUGAACCAACUCCCGAGUCUCUAGGACAUUCCUAAAAAAAUUUGAUUUUUUCCCAUAGGAAUGCAUGGGUUAGGGUUAUGGUUAGGGUUAGGGUUGGAGCUAGGGUUAGGGUUAGGGUUAGGGUUGGAGUUAGGGUUAGUGUUGGAGCUAGGGUUAGGGUUGGGCUUGGAGCUAGGAUUUUUCUGAGUGCACUGAACCAACUCCCGAGUCUCUAGGACAUUCCUAAAAAAAUUUGAUUUUUUCCCAUAGGAAUGCAUGGGUUAGGGUUAUGGUUAGGGUUAGGGUUGGAGCUAGGGUUAGGGUUAGGGUUAGGGUUGGAGUUAGGGUUAGUGUUGGAGCUAGGGUUAGGGUUGGGCUUGGAGCUAGGAUUUUUCUGAGUGCACUGAACCAACUCCCGAGUCUCUAGGACAUUCCUAAAAAAAUUUGAUUUUUUCCCAUAGGAAUGCAUGGGUUAGGGUUAUGGUUAGGGUUAGGGUUGGAGCUAGGGUUAGGGUUAGGGUUAGGGUUGGAGUUAGGGUUAGUGUUGGAGCUAGGGUUAGGGUUGGGCUUGGAGCUAGGAUUUUUCUGAGUGCACUGAACCAACUCCCGAGUCUCUAGGACGUUCCUAAAAAAAUUUGAUUUUUUCCCAUAGGAAUGCAUGGGUUAGGGUUAGGGUUAGGGUUGGAGCUAGGGUUAGGGUUAGGGUUAGGGUUGGAGUUAGGGUUAGUGUUGGAGCUUUGGUUAGGGUUGGGCUUGGAGCUAGGAUUUUUCUGAGUGCACUGAACCAACUCCCGAGUCUCUAGGACAUUCCUAAAAAAAUUUGAUUUUUUCCCAUAGGAAUGCAUGGGUUAGGGUUAUGGUUAGGGUUAGGGUUGGAGCUAGGGUUAGGGUUAGGGUUAGGGUUGGAGUUAGGGUUAGUGUUGGAGCUAGGGUUAGGGUUGGGCUUGGAGCUAGGAUUUUCUGAGUGCACUGAACCAACUCCCGAGUCUCUAGGACAUUCCUAAAAAAAUUUGAUUUUUUCCCAUAGGAAUGCAUGGGUUAGGGUUAUGGUUAGGGUUAGGGUUGGAGCUAGGGUUAGGGUUAGGGUUAGGGUUGGAGUUAGGGUUAGUGUUGGAGCUAGGGUUAGGGUUGGGCUUGGAGCUAGGAUUUUUCUGAGUGCACUGAACCAACUCCCGAGUCUCUAGGACAUUCCCUAAAAAAAAUUUGAUUUUUUCCCAUAGGAAUGCAUGGGUUAGGGUUAGGGUUAGGGUUGGAUUUAGGGUUAGGGUUAGGGUUAGGGUUGGAGUUAGGGUUAGUGUUGGAGCUAGGGUUAGGGUUGGGCUUGGAGCUAGGAUUUUUCUGAGUGCACUGAACCAACUCCCGAGUCUCUAGGACAUUCCUAAAAAAAUUUGAUUUUUUCCCAUAGGAAUGCAUGGGUUAGGGUUAGGGUUAGGGUUGGAGCUAGGGUUAGGGUUAGGGUUGGAGUUAGGGUUAGUGUUGGAGCUAGGGUUAGGGUUGGGCUUGGAGCUAGGAUUUUUCUGAGUGCACUGAACCAACUCCCGAGUCUCUAGGACGUUCCUAAAAAAAUUUGAUUUUUUCCCAUAGGAAUGCAUGGGUUGGGGUUAGGGUUAGGGUUGGAGCUAGGGUUAGGGUUGGGGUUAGGGUUGGAGUUAGGGUUAGUGUUGGAGCUAGGGUUAGGGUUGGGCUUGGAGCUAGGAUUUUUCUGAGUGCACUGAACCAACUCCCGAGUCUCUAGGACAUUCCUAAAAAAAUUUGAUUUUUUCCCAUAGGAAUGCAUGGGUUAGGGUUAUGGUUAGGGUUAGGGUUGGAGCUAGGGUUAGGGUUAGGGUUAGGGUUGGAGUUAGGGUUAGUGUUGGAGCUAGGGUUAGGGUUGGGCUUGGAGCUAGGAUUUUUCUGAGUGCACUGAACCAACUCCCGAGUCUCUAGGACAUUCCUAAAAAAAUUUGAUUUUUUCCCAUAGGAAUGCAUGGGUUAGGGUUAGGGUUAGGGUUGGAGCUAGGGUUAGGGUUAGGGUUAGGGUUGGAGUUAGGGUUAGUGUUGGAGCUAGGGUUAGGGUUGGGCUUGGAGCUAGGAUUUUUCUGAGUGCACUGAACCAACUCCCGAGUCUCUAGGACAUUCCUAAAAAAAUUUGAUUUUUUCCCAUAGGAAUGCAUGGGUUAGGGUUAGGGUUAGGGUUAGGGUUGGAGCUAGGGUUAGGGUUAGGGUUAGGGUUAGGGUUAGGGUUAGGGUUGGAGUUAGGGUUAGUGUUGGAGCUAGGGUUAGGGUUGGGCUUGGAGCUAGGAUUUUUCUGAGUGCACUGAACCAACUCCCGAGUCUCUAGGACGUUCCUAAAAAAUUUGAUUUUUUCCCAUAGGAAUGCAUGGGUUAGGGUUAGGGUUAGGGUUGGAGCUAGGGUUAGGGUUAGGGUUAGGGUUGGAGUUAGGGUUAGUGUUGGAGCUAGGGUUAGGGUUUGGCUUGGAGCUAGGAUUUUUCUGAGUGCACUGAACCAACUCCCGAGUCUCUAGGACAUUCCUAAAAAAAUUUGAGUUUUUCCCAUAGGAAUGCAUGGGUUAGGGUUAGGGUUAGGGUUGGAGCUAGGGUUAGGGUUAGGGUUAGGGUUGGAGUUAGGGUUAGUGUUGGAGCUAGGGUUAGGGUUGGGCUUGGAGCUAGGAUUUUUCUGAGUGCACUGAACCAACUCCCGAGUCUCUAGGACAUUCCUAAAAAAAUUUGAUUUUUUCCCAUAGGAAUGCAUGGGUUAGGGUUAUGGUUAGGGUUAGGGUUGGAGCUAGGGUUAGGGUUAGGGUUAGGGUUGGAGUUAGGGUUAGUGUUGGAGCUAGGGUUAGGGUUGGGCUUGGAGCUAGGAUUUUUCUGAGUGCACUGAACCAACUCCCGAGUCUCUAGGACAUUCCUAAAAAAAUUUGAUUUUUUCCCAUAGGAAUGCAUGGGUUAGGGUUAUGGUUAGGGUUAGGGUUGGAGCUAGGGUUAGGGUUAGGGUUAGGGUUGGAGUUAGGGUUAGUGUUGGAGCUAGGGUUAGGGUUGGGCUUGGAGCUAGGAUUUUUCUGAGUGCACUGAACCAACUCCCGAGUCUCUAGGAUGUUCCUAAAAAAAUUUGAUUUUUUCCCAUAGGAAUGCAUGGGUUAGGGUUAGGGUUAGGGUUGGAGCUAGGGUUAGGGUUAGGGUUAGGGUUGGGGUUAGUGUUAGUGAGAGCUAGGGUUAGGGUUGGGCUUGGAGCUAGGAUUUUUCUGAGUGCACUGAACCAACUCCCGAGUCUCUAGGACAUUCCUAAAAAAAUUUGAUUUUUUCCCAUAGGAAUGCAUGGGUUAGGGUUAGGGUUAGGGUUGGAGCUAGGGUUAGGGUUAGGGUUGGAGUUAGGGUUAGUGUUGGAGCUAGGGUUAGGGUUGGGCUUGGAGCUAGGAUUUUUCUGAGUGCACUGAACCAACUCCCGAGUCUCUAGGACAUUCCUAAAAAAAUUUGAUUUUUUCCCAUAGGAAUGCAUGGGUUAGGGUUAUGGUUAGGGUUAGGGUUGGAGCUAGGGUUAGGGUUAGGGUUAGGGUUGGAGUUAGGGUUAGUGUUGGAGCUAGGGUUAGGGUUGGGCUUGGAGCUAGGAUUUUUCUGAGUGCACUGAACCAACUCCCGAGUCUCUAGGACAUUCCUAAAAAAAUUUGAGUUUUUCCCAUAGGAAUGCAUGGGUUAGGUUAGGGUUAGGGUUGGAGCUAGGGUUAGGGUUAGGGUUAGGGUUGGAGUUAGGGUUAGUGUUGGAGCUAGGGUUAGGGUUGGGCUUGGAGCUAGGAUUUUUCUGAGUGCACUGAACCAACUCCCGAGUCUCUAGGACAUUCCUAAAAAAAAUUUGAUUUUUUCCCAUAGGAAUGCAUGGGUUAGGGUUAUGGUUAGGGUUAGGGUUGGAGCUAGGGUUAGGGUUAGGGUUAGGGUUGGAGUUAGGGUUAGUGUUGGAGCUAGGGUUAGGGUUGGGCUUGGAGCUAGGAUUUUUCUGAGUGCACUGAACCAACUCCCGAGUCUCUAGGACAUUCCUAAAAAAAUUUGAUUUUUUCCCAUAGGAAUGCAUGGGUUAGGGUUAGGGUUAGGGUUAGGGUUGGAGCUAGGGUUAGGGUUAGGGUUAGGGUUAGGGUUAGGGUUGGAGUUAGGGUUAGUGUUGGAGCUAGGGUUAGGGUUGGGCUUGGAGCUAGGAUUUUUCUGAGUGCACUGAACCAACUCCCGAGUCUCUAGGACAUUCCUAAAAAAAUUUGAUUUUUUCCCAUAGGAAUGCAUGGGUUAGGGUUAUGGUUAGGGUUAGGGUUGGAGCUAGGGUUAGGGUUAGGGUUAGGGUUGGAGUUAGGGUUAGUGUUGGAGCUAGGGUUAGGGUUGGGCUUGGAGCUAGGAUUUUUCUGAGUGCACUGAACCAACUCCCGAGUCUCUAGGAUGUUCCUAAAAAAAUUUGAUUUUUUCCCAUAGGAAUGCAUGGGUUAGGGUUAGGGUUAGGGUUGGAGCUAGGGUUAGGGUUAGGGUUAGGGUUGGAGUUAGGGUUAGUGUUGGAGCUAGGGUUAGGGUUGGGCUUGGAGCUAGGAUUUUUCUGAGUGCACUGAACCAACUCCCGAGUCUCUAGGACAUUCCUAAAAAAAUUUGAUUUUUUCCCAUAGGAAUGCAUGGGUUAGGGUUAUGGUUAGGGUUAGGGUUGGAGCUAGGGUUAGGGUUAGGGUUAGGGUUGGAGUUAGGGUUAGUGUUGGAGCUAGGGUUAGGGUUGGGCUUGGAGCUAGGAUUUUUCUGAGUGCACUGAACCAACUCCCGAGUCUCUAGGACAUUCCUAAAAAAAUUUGAUUUUUUUCCCAUAGGAAUGCAUGGGUUAGGGUUAUGGUUAGGGUUAGGGUUGGAGCUAGGGUUAGGGUUAGGGUUAGGGUUGGAGUUAGGGUUAGUGUUGGAGCUAGGGUUAGGGUUGGGCUUGGAGCUAGGAUUUUUCUGAGUGCACUGAACCAACUCCCGAGUCUCUAGGACAUUCCUAAAAAAAUUUGAUUUUUUCCCAUAGGAAUGCAUGGGUUAGGGUUAUGGUUAGGGUUAGGGUUGGAGCUAGGGUUAGGGUUAGGGUUAGGGUUGGAGUUAGGGUUAGUGUUGGAGCUAGGGUUAGGGUUGGGCUUGGAGCUAGGAUUUUUUGAGUGCAAUGAACCAACUCCCGAGUCUCUAGGACGUUCCUAAAAAAAUUUGAUUUUUUCCCAUAGGAAUGCAUGGGUUAGGGUUAUGGUUAGGGUUAGGGUUGGAGCUAGGGUUAGGGUUAGGGUUAGGGUUGGAGUUAGGGUUAGUGUUGGAGCUAGGGUUAGGGUUGGGCUUGGAGCUAGGAUUUUUCUGAGUGCACUGAACCAACUCCCGAGUCUCUAGGACGUUCCUAAAAAAAUUUGAUUUUUUCCCAUAGGAAUGCAUGGGUUGGGUUAGGGUUAGGGUUAGGGUUGGAGCUAGGGUUAGGGUUAGGGUUAGGGUUGGAGUUAGGGUUAGUGUUGGAGCUAGGGUUAGGGUUGGGCUUGGAGCUAGGAUUUUUCUGAGUGCACUGAACCAACUCCCGAGUCUCUAGGACAUUCCUAAAAAAAUUUGAUUUUUUCCCAUAGGAAUGCAUGGGUUAGGGUUAGGGUUAGGGUUGGAGCUAGGGUUAGGGUUAGGGUUAGGGUUGGAGUUAGGGUUAGUGUUGGAGCUAGGGUUAGGGUUGGGCUUGGAGCUAGGAUUUUUCUGAGUGCAAUGAACCAACUCCCGAGUCUCUAGGACGUUCCUAAAAAAAUUUGAUUUUUUCCCAUAGGAAUGCAUGGGUUAUGGUUAGGGUUAGGGUUGGAGCUAGGGUUAGGGUUAGGUUUAGGGUUGGAGUUAGGGUUAGUGUUGGAGCUAGGGUUAGGGUUGGGCUUGGAGCUAGGAUUUUUCUGAGUGCACUGAACCAACUCCCGAGUCUCUAGGACAUUCCUAAAAAAAUUUGAUUUUUUCCCAUAGGAAUGCAUGGGUUAGGCUUAUGGUUAGGGUUAGGGUUGGAGCUAGGGUUAGGGUUAGGGUUAGGGUUGGAGUUAGGGUUAGUGUUGGAGCUAGGGUUAGGGUUGGGCUUGGAGCUAGGAUUUUUCUGAGUGCAACUGAACCAACUCCCGAGUCUCUUGGACGUUCCUAAAAAAAUUUGAUUUUUUCCCAUAGGAAUGCAUGGGUUAGGGUUAGGGUUAGGGUUGGAGCUAGGGUUAGGGUUAGGGUUAGGGUUGGAGUUAGGGUUAGUGUUGGAGCUAGGGUUAGGGUUGGGCUUGGAGCUAGGAUUUUUCUGAGUGCACUGAACCAACUCCCGAGUCUCUAGGACGUUCCUAAAAAAAUUUGAUUUUUUCCCAUAGGAAUGCAUGGGUUAGGGUUAUGGUUAGGGUUAGGGUUGGAGCUAGGGUUAGGGUUAGGGUUAGGGUUGGAGUUAGGGUUAGUGUUGGAGCUAGGGUUAGGGUUGGGCUUGGAGCUAGGAUUUUUCUGAGUGCAAUGAACCAACUCCCGAGUCUCUUGGACGUUCCUAAAAAAAUUUGAUUUUUUCCCAUAGGAAUGCAUGGGUUAGGGUUAGGGUUAGGGUUGGAGCUAGGGUUAGGGUUAGGGUUAGGGUUGGAGUUAGGGUUAGUGUUGGAGCUAGGGUUAGGGUUGGGCUUGGAGCUAGGAUUUUUCUGAGUGCAAUGAACCAACUCCCGAGUCUCUAGGACGUUCCUAAAAAAAUUUGAUUUUUUCCCAUAGGAAUGCAUGGGUUAGGGUUAGGGUUAGGGUUGGAGCUAGGGUUAGGGUUAGGUUUAGGGUUGGAGUUAGGGUUAGUGUUGGAGCUAGGGUUAGGGUUGGGCUUGGAGCUAGGAUUUUUCUGAGUGCACUGAACCAACUCCCGAGUCUCUAGGACAUUCCUAAAAAAAUUUGAUUUUUUCCCAUAGGAAUGCAUGGUUUAGGGUUAUGGUUAGGGUUAGGGUUGGAGCUAGGGUUAGGGUUAGGGUUAGGGUUGGAGUUAGGGUUAGUGUUGGAGCUAGGGUUAGGGUUGCGCUUGGAGCUAGGACUUUUCUGAGUGCAAUGAACCAACUCCCGAGUCUCUAGGAUGUUCCCUUAAAAAAAAUUGAUUUUUUCCCAUAGGAAUGCAUGGGUUAGGGUUAGGGUUAGGGUUGGAGCUAGGGUUAGGGUUAGGGUUAGGGUUGGAGUUAGGGUUCGUGUUGGAGCUAGGGUUAGGGUUGGGCUUGGAGCUAGGAUUUUUCUGAGUGCACUGAACCAACUCCCGAGUCUCUAGGACAUUCCUAAAAAAAUUUGAUUUUUUCCCAUAGGAAUGCAUGGGUUAGGGUUAUGGUUAGGGUUAGGGUUGGAGCUAGGGUUAGGGUUAGGGUUAGGGUUGGAGUUAGGGUUAGUGUUGGAGCUAGGGUUAGGGUUGGGCUUGGAGCUAGGACUUUUCUGAGUGCAAUGAACCAACUCCCGAGUCUCUAGGACGUUCCUAAAAAAAAUUGAUUUUUUCCCAUAGGAAUGCAUGGGUUAGGGUUAGGGUUAGGGUUGGAGCUAGGGUUAGGGUUAGGGUUAGGGUUGGAGUUAGGGUUAGUGUUGGAGCUAGGGUUAGGGUUGGGCUUGGAGCUAGGAUUUUUCUGAGUGCACUGAACCAACUCCCGAGUCUCUAGGACGUUCCUAAAAAAAUUUGAUUUUUUCCCAUAGGAAUGCAUGGGUUAGGGUUAGGGUUAGGGUUGGAGCUAGGGUUAGGGUUAGGGUUAGGGUUAGGGUUGGAGUUAGGGUUAGUGUUGGAGCUAGGGUUAGGGUUGGGCUUGGAGCUAGGAUUUUUCUGAGUGCACUGAACCAACUCCCGAGUCUCUAGGAUAUUCCUAAAAAAAUUUGAUUUUUUCCCAUAGGAAUGCAUGGGUUAGGGUUAGGGUUAGGGUUGGAGCUAGGGUUAGGGUUAGGGUUAGGGUUGGAGUUAGGGUUAGUGUUGGAGCUAUGGUUAGGGUUGGGCUUGGAGCUAGGAUUUUUCUGAGUGCACUGAACCAACUCCCGAGUCUCUAGGACAUUCCUAAAAAAUUUUGAUUUUUUCCCAUAGGAAUGCAUGGGUUAGGGUUAUGGUUAGGGUUAGGGUUGGAGCUAGGGUUAGGGUUAGGGUUAGGGUUGGAGUUAGGGUUAGUGUUGGAGCUAGGGUUAGGGUUGGGCUUGGAGCUAGGAUUUUUCUGAGUGCACUGAACCAACUCCCGAGUCUCUAGGACAUUCCUAAAAAAAUUUGAUUUUUUUCCCAUAGGAAUGCAUGGGUUAGGGUUAGGGUUAGGGUUGGAGCUAGGGUUAGGGUUAGGGUUAGGGUUGGAGUUAGGGUUAGUGUUGGAGCUAGGGUUAGGGUUGGGCUUGGAGCUAGGAUUUUUCUGAGUGCACUGAACCAACUCCCGAGUCUCUAGGACAUUCCUAAAAAAAUUUGAUUUUUUCCCAUAGGAAUGCAUGGGUUAGGGUUAGGGUUAGGGUUGGAGCUAGGGUUAGGGUUAGGGUUAGGGUUAGGGUUGGAGUUAGGGUUAGUGUUGGAGCUAGGGUUAGGGUUGGGCUUGGAGCUAGGAUUUUUCUGAGUGCACUGAACCAACUCCCGAGUCUCUAGGACAUUCCUAAAAAAAUUUGAUUUUUUCCCAUAGGAAUGCAUGGGUUAGGGUUAUGGUUAGGGUUAGGGUUGGAGCUAGGGUUAGGGUUAGGGUUAGGGUUGGAGUUAGGGUUAGUGUUGGAGCUAGGGUUAGGGUUGGGCUUGGAGCUAGGAUUUUUCUGAGUGCAAUGAACCAACUCCCGAGUCUCUAGGACGUUCCUAAAAAAAUUUGAUUUUUUCCCAUAGGAAUGCAUGGGUUAGGGUUAGGGUUAGGGUUGGAGCUAGGGUUAGGGUUAGGGUUAGGGUUGGAGUUAGGGUUAGUGUUGGAGCUAGGGUUAGGGUUGGGCUUGGAGCUAGGAUUUUUCUGAGUGCACUGAACCAACUCCCGAGUCUCUAGGACAUUCCUAAAAAAAAUUGAUUUUUUCCCAUAGGAAUGCAUGGGUUAGGGUUAUGGUUAGGGUUAGGGUUGGAGCUAGGGUUAGGGUUAGGGUUAGGGUUGGAGUUAGGGUUAGUGUUGGAGCUAGGGUUAGGGUUGGGCUUGGAGCUAGGACUUUUCUGAGUGCAAUGAACCAACUCCCGAGUCUCUAGGACGUUCCCUAAAAAAAUUUGAUUUUUUCCCAUAGGAAUGCAUGGGUUAGGGUUAGGGUUAGGGUUGGAGCUAGGGUUAGGGUUAGGGUUAGGGUUGGAGUUAGGGUUAGUGUUGGAGCUAGGGUUAGGGUUGGGCUUGGAGCUAGGAUUUUUCUGAGUGCACUGAACCAACUCCCGAGUCUCUAGGACAUUCCUAAAAAAAUUUGAUUUUUUCCCAUAGGAAUGCAUGGGUUAGGGUUAUGGUUAGGGUUAGGGUUGGAGCUAGGGUUAGGGUUAGGGUUAGGGUUGGAGUUAGGGUUAGUGUUGGAGCUAGGGUUAGGGUUGGGCUUGGAGCUAGGAUUUUUCUGAGUGCAUGAACCAACUCCCGAGUCUCUAGGACGUUCCUAAAAAAAUUUGAUUUUUUCCCAUAGGAAUGCAUGGGUUAGGGUUAUGGUUAGGGUUGGAGCUAGGGUUAGGGUUAGGGUUAGGGUUGGAGUUAGGGUUAGUGUUGGAGCUAGGGUUAGGGUUGGGCUUGGAGCUAGGAUUUUUCUGAGUGCACUGAACCAACUCCCGAGUCUCUAGGACAUUCCUAAAAAAAUUUGAUUUUUUCCCAUAGGAAUGCAUGGGUUAGGGUUAGGGUUAGGGUUGGAGCUAGGGUUAGGGUUAGGGUUAGGGUUGGAGUUAGGGUUAGUGUUGGAGCUAGGGUUAGGGUUGGGCUUGGAGCUAGGAUUUUUCUGAGUGCAAUGAACCAACUCCCGAGUCUCUAGGACGUUCCUAAAAAAAUUUGAUUUUUUCCCAUAGGAAUGCAUGGGUUAGGGUUAGGGUUAGGGUUGGAGCUAGGGUUAGGGUUAGGGUUAGGGUUGGAGUUAGGGUUAGUGUUGGAGCUAGGGUUAGGGUUGGGCUUGGAGCUAGGAUUUUUCUGAGUGCACUGAACCAACUCCCGAGUCUCUAGGACAUUCCUAAAAAAAUUUGAUUUUUUCCCAUAGGAAUGCAUGGGUUAGGGUUAUGGUUAGGGUUAGGGUUGGAGCUAGGGUUAGGGUUAGGGUUAGGGUUGGAGUUAGGGUUAGUGUUGGAGCUAGGGUUAGGGUUGGGCUUGGAGCUAGGACUUUUCUGAGUGCAAUGAACCAACUCCCGAGUCUCUAGGACGUUCCCUAAAAAAAUUUGAUUUUUUCCCAUAGGAAUGCAUGGGUUAGGGUUAGGGUUAGGGUUGGAGCUAGGGUUAGGGUUAGGGUUAGGGUUGGAGUUAGGGUUAGUGUUGGAGCUAGGGUUAGGGUUGGGCUUGGAGCUAGGAUUUUUCUGAGUGCACUGAACCAACUCCCGAGUCUCUAGGACAUUCCUAAAAAAAUUUGAUUUUUUCCCAUAGGAAUGCAUGGGUUAGGGUUAGGGUUAGGGUUGGAGCUAGGGUUAGGGUUAGGGUUAGGGUUGGAGUUAGGGUUAGUGUUGGAGCUAGGGUUAGGGUUGGGCUUGGAGCUAGGAUUUUUCUGAGUCCAGUGAACCAACUCCCGAGUCUCUAGGACAUUCCUAAAAAAAUUUGAUUUUUUCCCAUAGGAAUGCAUGGGUUAGGGUUAGGGUUAGGGUUGGAGCUAGGGUUAGGGUUAGGGUUAGGGUUGGAGUUAGGGUUAGUGUUGGAGCUAGGGUUAGGGUUGGGCUUGGAGCUAGGAUUUUUCUGAGUGCACUGAACCAACUCCCGAGUCUCUAGGACAUUCCUAAAAAAAUUUGAUUUUUUCCCAUAGGAAUGCAUGGUUUAGGGUUAUGGUUAGGGUUAGGGUUGGAGCUAGGGUUAGGGUUAGGGUUAGGGUUGGAGUUAGGGUUAGUGUUGGAGCUAGGGUUAGGGUUGGGCUUGGAGCUAGGACUUUUCUGAGUGCAAUGAACCAACUCCCGAGUCUCUAGGACGUUCCAAAAAAAAAUUUGAUUUUUUCCCAUAGGAAUGCAUGGGUUAGGGUUAGGGUUAGGGUUGGAGCUAGGGUUAGGGUUAGGGUUAGGGUUGGAGUUAGGGUUAGUGUUGGAGCUAGGGUUAGGGUUGGGCUUGGAGCUAGGAUUUUUCUGAGUGCACUGAACCAACUCCCGAGUCUCUAGGACGUUCCUAAAAAAAUUUGAUUUUUUCCCAUAGGAAUGCAUGGGUUAGGGUUAGGGUUAGGGUUGGAGCUAGGGUUAGGGUUAGGGUUAGGGUUGGAGUUAGGGUUAGUGUUGGAGCUAGGGUUAGGGUUGGGCUUGGAGCUAGGAUUUUUCUGAGUGCACUGAACCAACUCCCGAGUCUCUAGGACAUUCCUAAAAAAAUUUGAGUUUUUCCCAUAGGAAUGCAUGGGUUAGGGUUAGGGUUAGGGUUGGAGCUAGGGUUAGGGUUAGGGUUAGGGUUGGAGUUAGGGUUAGUGUUGGAGCUAGGGUUAGGGUUGGGCUUGGAGCUAGGAUUUUUCUGAGUGCACUGAACCAACUCCCGAGUCUCUAGGACAUUCCUAAAAAAAUUUGAUUUUUUCCCAUAGGAAUGCAUGGGUUAGGGUUAGGGUUAGGGUUGGAGCUAGGGUUAGGGUUAGGGUUAGGGUUGGAGUUAGGGUUAGUGUUGGAGCUAGGGUUAGGGUUGGGCUUGGAGCUAGGAUUUUUCUGAGUGCAAUGAACCAACUCCCGAGUCUCUUGGACGUUCCUAAAAAAAUUUGAUUUUUUCCCAUAGGAAUGCAUGGGUUAGGGUUAGGGUUAGGGUUGGAGCUAGGGUUAGGGUUAGGGUUAGGGUUGGAGUUAGGGUUAGUGUUGGAGCUAGGGUUAGGGUUGGGCUUGGAGCUAGGAUUUUUCUGAGUGCACUGAACCAACUCCCGAGUCUCUAGGACGUUCCUAAAAAAAUUUGAUUUUUUCCCAUAGGAAUGCAUGGGUUAGGGUUAGGGUUAGGGUUGGAGCUAGGGUUAGGGUUAGGGUUAGGGUUGGAGUUAGGGUUAGUGUUGGAGCUAGGGUUAGGGUUGGGCUUGGAGCUAGGAUUUUUCUGAGUGCACUGAACCAACUCCCGAGUCUCUAGGACGUUCCUAAAAAAAUUUGAUUUUUUCCCAUAGGAAUGCAUGGGUUAGGGUUAGGGUUAGGGUUGGAGCUAGGGUUAGGGUUAGGGUUAGGGUUGGAGUUAGGGUUAGUGUUGGAGCUAGGGUUAGGGUUGGGCUUGGAGCUAGGAUUUUUCUGAGUGCACUGAACCAACUCCCGAGUCUCUAGGACAUUCCUAAAAAAAUUUGAUUUUUCCCAUAGGAAUGCAUGGGUUAGGGUUAGGGUUAGGGUUGGAGCUAGGGUUAGGGUUAGGGUUAGGGUUGGAGUUAGGGUUAGUGUUGGAGCUAGGGUUAGGGUUGGGCUUGGAGCUAGGAUUUUUCUGAGUGCACUGAACCAACUCCCGAGUCUCUAGGACAUUCCUAAAAAAAUUUGAUUUUUUUCCCAUAGGAAUGCAUGGGUUAGGGUUAGGGUUAGGGUUAGGGUUGGAGCUAGGGUUAGGGUUAGGGUUAGGGUUGGAGUUAGGGUUAGUGUUGGAGCUAGGGUUAGGGUUGGGCUUGGAGCUAGGAUUUUUCUGAGUGCACUGAACCAACUCCCGAGUCUCUAGGACGUUCCUAAAAAAAUUUGAUUUUUUCCCAUAGGAAUGCAUGGGUUAGGGUUAGGGUUAGGGUUGGAGCUAGGGUUAGGGUUAGGGUUAGGGUUGGAGUUAGGGUUAGUGUUGGAGCUAGGGUUAGGGUUGGGCUUGGAGCUAGGAUUUUUCUGAGUGCACUGAACCAACUCCCGAGUCUCUAGGACGUUCCUAAAAAAAUUUGAUUUUUUCCCAUAGGAAUGCAUGGGUUAGGGUUAGGGUUAGGGUUGGAGCUAGGGUUAGGGUUAGGGUUAGGGUUGGAGUUAGGGUUAGUGUUGGAGCUAGGGUUAGGGUUGGGCUUGGAGCUAGGAUUUUUCUGAGUGCACUGAACCAACUCCCGAGUCUCUAGGACAUUCCUAAAAAAAUUUGAUUUUUUCCCAUAGGAAUGCAUGGGUUAGGGUUAGGGUUAGGGUUGGAGCUAGGGUUAGGGUUAGGGUUAGGGUUGGAGUUAGGGUUAGUGUUGGAGCUAGGGUUAGGGUUGGGCUUGGAGCUAGGAUUUUUCUGAGUGCACUGAACCAACUCCCGAGUCUCUAGGACAUUCCUAAAAAAAUUUGAUUUUUUCCCAUAGGAAUGCAUGGGUUAGGGUUAUGGUUAGGGUUAGGGUUGGAGCUAGGGUUAGGGUUAGGGUUAGGGUUGGAGUUAGGGUUAGUGUUGGAGCUAGGGUUAGGGUUGGGCUUGGAGCUAGGAUUUUUCUGAGUGCACUGAACCAACUCCCGAGUCUCUAGGACAUUCCUAAAAAAAUUUGAUUUUUUCCCAUAGGAAUGCAUGGGUUAGGGUUAGGGUUAGGGUUGGAGCUAGGGUUAGGGUUAGGGUUAGGGUUGGAGUUAGGGUUAGUGUUGGAGCUAGGGUUAGGGUUGGGCUUGGAGCUAGGAUUUUUCUGAGUGCACUGAACCAACUCCCGAGUCUCUAGGACAUUCCUAAAAAAAUUUGAUUUUUUCCCAUAGGAAUGCAUGGGUUAGGGUUAUGGUUAGGGUUGGAGCUAGGGUUAGGGUUAGGGUUAGGGUUGGAGUUAGGGUUAGUGUUGGAGCUAGGGUUAGGGUUGGGCUUGGAGCUAGGAUUUUUCUGAGUGCACUGAACCAACUCCCGAGUCUCUAGGACAUUCCUAAAAAAAUUUGAUUUUUUCCCAUAGGAAUGCAUGGGUUAGGGUUAGGGUUAGGGUUGGAGCUAGGGUUAGGGUUAGGGUUAGGGUUGGAGUUAGGGUUAGUGUUGGAGCUAGGGUUAGGGUUGGGCUUGGAGCUAGGAUUUUUCUGAGUGCACUGAACCAACUCCCGAGUCUCUAGGACAUUCCUAAAAAAAUUUGAUUUUUUCCCAUAGGAAUGCAUGGGUUAGGGUUAUGGUUAGGGUUAGGGUUGGAGCUAGGGUUAGGGUUAGGGUUAGGGUUGGAGUUAGGGUUAGUGUUGGAGCUAGGGUUAGGGUUGGGCUUGGAGCUAGGACUUUUCUGAGUGCAAUGAACCAACUCCCGAGUCUCUAGGACAUUCCUAAAAAAAUUGAUUUUUUCCCAUAGGAAUGCAUGGGUUAGGGUUAUGGUUAGGGUUAGGGUUGGAGCUAGUGUUAGGGUUAGGGUUAGGGUUAGGGUUAGGGUUGGAGUUAGGGUUAGUGUUGGAGCUAGGGUUAGGGUUGGGCUUGGAGCUAGGAUUUUUCUGAGUGCACUGAACCAACUCCCGAGUCUCUAGGACAUUCCUAAAAAAAUUUGAUUUUUUCCCAUAGGAAUGCAUGGGUUAGGGUUAUGGUUAGGGUUAGGGUUGGAGCUAGGGUUAGGGUUAGGGUUAGGGUUGGAGUUAGGGUUAGUGUUGGAGCUAGGGUUAGGGUUGGGCUUGGAGCUAGGAUUUUUCUGAGUGCACUGAACCAACUCCCGAGUCUCUAGGACAUUCCUAAAAAAAUUUGAUUUUUUCCCAUAGGAAUGCAUGGGUUAGGGUUAGGGUUAGGGUUGGAGCUAGGGUUAGGGUUAGGGUUAGGGUUGGAGUUAGGGUUAGUGUUGGAGCUAGGGUUAGGGUUGGGCUUGGAGCUAGGAUUUUUCUGAGUGCACUGAACCAACUCCCGAGUCUCUAGGACAUUCCUAAAAAAAUUUGAUUUUUUCCCAUAGGAAUGCAUGGGUUAGGGUUAGGGUUAGGGUUGGAGCUAGGGUUAGGGUUAGGGUUAGGGUUGGAGUUAGGGUUAGUGUUGGAGCUAGGGUUAGGGUUGGGCUUGGAGCUAGGAUUUUUCUGAGUGCACUGAACCAACUCCCGAGUCUCUAGGACAUUCCUAAAAAAAUUUGAUUUUUUUCCCAUAGGAAUGCAUGGGUUAGGGUUAUGGUUAGGGUUAGGGUUGGAGCUAGGGUUAGGGUUAGGGUUAGGGUUGGAGUUAGGGUUAGUGUUGGAGCUAGGGUUAGGGUUGGGCUUGGAGCUAGGAUUUUUCUGAGUGCAAUGAACCAACUCCCGAGUCUCUAGGACGUUCCUAAAAAAAUUUGAUUUUUUCCCAUAGGAAUGCAUGGGUUAGGGUUAGGGUUAGGGUUGGAGCUAGGGUUAGGGUUAGGGUUAGGGUUGGAGUUAGGGUUAGUGUUGGAGCUAGGGUUAGGGUUGGGCUUGGAGCUAGGAUUUUUCUGAGUGCACUGAACCAACUCCCGAGUCUCUAGGACGUUCCUAAAAAAAUUUGAUUUUUUCCCAUAGGAAUGCAUGGGUUAGGGUUAGGGUUAGGGUUGGAGCUAGGGUUAGGGUUAGGGUUAGGGUUGGAGUUAGGGUUAGUGUUGGAGCUAGGGUUAGGGUUGGGCUUGGAGCUAGGAUUUUUCUGAGUGCACUGAACCAACUCCCGAGUCUCUAGGACAUUCCUAAAAAAAUUUGAUUUUUUCCCAUAGGAAUGCAUGGGUUAGGGUUAGGGUUAGGGUUGGAGCUAGGGUUAGGGUUAGGGUUAGGGUUGGAGUUAGGGUUAGUGUUGGAGCUAGGGUUAGGGUUGGGCUUGGAGCUAGGAUUUUUCUGAGUGCACUGAACCAACUCCCGAGUCUCUAGGACAUUCCUAAAAAAAUUUGAUUUUUUCCCAUAGGAAUGCAUGGGUUAGGGUUAUGGUUAGGGUUAGGGUUGGAGCUAGGGUUAGGGUUAGGGUUAGGGUUGGAGUUAGGGUUAGUGUUGGAGCUAGGGUUAGGGUUGGGCUUGGAGCUAGGAUUUUUCUGAGUGCACUGAACCAACUCCCGAGUCUCUAGGACAUUCCUAAAAAAAAUUUGAUUUUUUCCCAUAGGAAUGCAUGGGUUAGGGUUAUGGUUAGGGUUAGGGUUGGAGCUAGGGUUAGGGUUAGGGUUAGGGUUGGAGUUAGGGUUAGUGUUGGAGCUAGGGUUAGGGUUGGGCUUGGAGCUAGGAUUUUUCUGAGUGCAAUGAACCAACUCCCGAGUCUCUUGGACGUUCCUAAAAAAAUUUGAUUUUUUCCCAUAGGAAUGCAUGGGUUAGGGUUAGGGUUAGGGUUGGAGCUAGGGUUAGGGUUAGGGUUAGGGUUGGAGUUAGGGUUAGUGUUGGAGCUAGGGUUAGGGUUGGGCUUGGAGCUAGGAUUUUUCUGAGUGCAAUGAACCAACUCCCGAGUCUCUAGGACGUUCCUAAAAAAAUUUGAUUUUUUUCCCAUAGGAAUGCAUGGGUUAGGGUUAUGGUUAGGGUUGGAGCUAGGGUUAGGGUUAGGGUUAGGGUUGGAGUUAGGGUUAGUGUUGGAGCUAGGGUUAGGGUUGGGCUUGGAGCUAGGAUUUUUCUGAGUGCACUGAACCAACUCCCGAGUCUCUAGGACGUUCCUAAAAAAAUUUGAUUUUUUCCCAUAGGAAUGCAUGGGUUAGGGUUAGGGUUAGGGUUGGAGCUAGGGUUAGGGUUAGGGUUAGGGUUGGAGUUAGGGUUAGUGUUGGAGCUAGGGUUAGGGUUGGGCUUGGAGCUAGGAUUUUUCUGAGUGCACUGAACCAACUCCCGAGUCUCUAGGACAUUCCUAAAAAAUUUGAUUUUUUUCCCAUAGGAAUGCAUGGGUUAGGGUUAUGGUUAGGGUUAGGGUUGGAGCUAGGGUUAGGGUUAGGGUUAGGGUUGGAGUUAGGGUUAGUGUUGGAGCUAGGGUUAGGGUUGGGCUUGGAGCUAGGACUUUUCUGAGUGCAAUGAACCAACUCCCGAGUCUCUAGGACAUUCCUAAAAAAAUUUGAUUUUUUCCCAUAGGAAUGCAUGGGUUAGGGUUAUGGUUAGGGUUAGGGUUGGAGCUAGGGUUAGGGUUAGGGUUAGGGUUAGGGUUGGAGUUAGGGUUAGUGUUGGAGCUAGGGUUAGGGUUGGGCUUGGAGCUAGGAUUUUUCUGAGUGCACUGAACCAACUCCCGAGUCUCUAGGACAUUCCUAAAAAAAUUUGAUUUUUUCCCAUAGGAAUGCAUGGGUUAGGGUUAGGGUUAGGGUUAGGGUUGGAGCUAGGGUUAGGGUUAGGGUUGGAGUUAGGGUUAGUGUUGGAGCUAGGGUUAGGGUUGGGCUUGGAGCUAGGAUUUUUCUGAGUGCAAUGAACCAACUCCCGAGUCUCUAGGACGUUCCUAAAAAAAUUUGAUUUUUUCCCAUAGGAAUGCAUGGGUUAGGGUUAGGGUUAGGGUUGGAGCUAGGGUUAGGGUUAGGGUUAGGGUUGGAGUUAGGGUUAGUGUUGGAGCUAGGGUUAGGGUUGGGCUUGGAGCUAGGAUUUUUCUGAGUGCACUGAACCAACUCCCGAGUCUCUAGGACAUUCCUAAAAAAAUUUGAUUUUUUCCCAUAGGAAUGCAUGGGUUAGGGUUAGGGUUAGGGUUGGAGCUAGGGUUAGGGUUAGGGUUAGGGUUGGAGUUAGGGUUAGUGUUGGAGCUAGGGUUAGGGUUGGGCUUGGAGCUAGGAUUUUUCUGAGUGCACUGAACCAACUCCCGAGUCUCUAGGACAUUCCUAAAAAAAUUUGAUUUUUUCCCAUAGGAAUGCAUGGGUUAGGGUUAGGGUUAGGGUUGGAGCUAGGGUUAGGGUUAGGGUUAGGGUUGGAGUUAGGGUUAGUGUUGGAGCUAGGGUUAGGGUUGGGCUUGGAGCUAGGAUUUUUCUGAGUGCACUGAACCAACUCCCGAGUCUCUAGGACAUUCCUAAAAAAAUUUGAUUUUUUCCCAUAGGAAUGCAUGGGUUAGGGUUAUGGUUAGGGUUAGGGUUGGAGCUAGGGUUAGGGUUAGGGUUAGGGUUGGAGUUAGGGUUAGUGUUGGAGCUAGGGUUAGGGUUGGGCUUGGAGCUAGGAUUUUUCUGAGUGCACUGAACCAACUCCCGAGUCUCUAGGACAUUCCUAAAAAAAUUUGAUUUUUUCCCAUAGGAAUGCAUGGGUUAGGGUUAUGGUUAGGGUUAGGGUUGGAGCUAGGGUUAGGGUUAGGGUUAGGGUUGGAGUUAGGGUUAGUGUUGGAGCUAGGGUUAGGGUUGGGCUUGGAGCUAGGACUUUUCUGAGUGCAAUGAACCAACUCCCGAGUCUCUAGGACGUUCCUAAAAAAAUUUGAUUUUUUCCCAUAGGAAUGCAUGGGUUAGGGUUAGGGUUAGGGUUGGAGCUAGGGUUAGGGUUAGGGUUAGGGUUGGAGUUAGGGUUAGUGUUGGAGCUAGGGUUAGGGUUGGGCUUGGAGCUAGGAUUUUUCUGAGUGCACUGAACCAACUCCCGAGUCUCUAGGACAUUCCUAAAAAAAUUUGAUUUUUUCCCAUAGGAAUGCAUGGGUUAGGGUUAGGGUUAGGGUUGGAGCUAGGGUUAGGGUUAGGGUUAGGGUUGGAGUUAGGGUUAGUGUUGGAGCUAGGGUUAGGGUUGGGCUUGGAGCUAGGAUUUUUCUGAGUGCACUGAACCAACUCCCGAGUCUCUAGGACAUUCCUAAAAAAAUUUGAUUUUUUCCCAUAGGAAUGCAUGGGUUAGGGUUAUGGUUAGGGUUAGGGUUGGAGCUAGGGUUAGGGUUAGGGUUAGGGUUGGAGUUAGGGUUAGUGUUGGAGCUAGGGUUAGGGUUGGGCUUGGAGCUAGGACUUUUCUGAGUGCAAUGAACCAACUCCCGAGUCUCUUGGACGUUCCCUAAAAAAUUUGAUUUUUUCCCAUAGGAAUGCAUGGGUUAGGGUUAGGGUUAGGGUUGGAGCUAGGGUUAGGGUUAGGGUUAGGGUUGGAGUUAGGGUUAGUGUUGGAGCUAGGGUUAGGGUUGGGCUUGGAGCUAGGAUUUUUCUGAGUGCACUGAACCAACUCCCGAGUCUCUAGGACAUUCCUAAAAAAAUUUGAUUUUUUCCCAUAGGAAUGCAUGGGUUAGGGUUAUGGUUAGGGUUGGAGCUAGGGUUAGGGUUAGGGUUAGGGUUGGAGUUAGGGUUAGUGUUGGAGCUAGGGUUAGGGUUGGGCUUGGAGCUAGGAUUUUUCUGAGUGCAAUGAACCAACUCCCGAGUCUCUAGGACAUUCCUAAAAAAAUUUGAUUUUUUCCCAUAGGAAUGCAUGGGUUAGGGUUAGGGUUAGGGUUGGAGCUAGGGUUAGGGUUAGGGUUAGGGUUGGAGUUAGGGUUAGUGUUGGAGCUAGGGUUAGGGUUGGGCUUGGAGCUAGGAUUUUUCUGAGUGCACUGAACCAACUCCCGAGUCUCUAGGACAUUCCUAAAAAAAUUUGAUUUUUUCCCAUAGGAAUGCAUGGGUUAGGGUUAUGGUUAGGGUUAGGGUUGGAGCUAGGGUUAGGGUUAGGGUUAGGGUUGGAGUUAGGGUUAGUGUUGGAGCUAGGGUUAGGGUUGGGCUUGGAGCUAGGACUUUUCUGAGUGCAAUGAACCAACUCCCGAGUCUCUUGGACGUUCCCUAAAAAAAUUUGAUUUUUUUCCCAUAGGAAUGCAUGGGUUAGGGUUAGGGUUAGGGUUGGAGCUAGGGUUAGGGUUAGGGUUAGGGUUGGAGUUAGGGUUAGUGUUGGAGCUAGGGUUAGGGUUGGGCUUGGAGCUAGGAUUUUUCUGAGUGCACUGAACCAACUCCCGAGUCUCUAGGACAUUCCUAAAAAAAUUUGAUUUUUUCCCAUAGGAAUGCAUGGGUUAGGGUUAGGGUUAGGGUUGGAGCUAGGGUUAGGGUUAGGGUUAGGGUUGGAGUUAGGGUUAGUGUUGGAGCUAGGGUUAGGGUUGGGCUUGGAGCUAGGAUUUUUCUGAGUGCACUGAACCAACUCCCGAGUCUCUAGGACAUUCCUAAAAAAAUUUGAUUUUUUUCCCAUAGGAAUGCAUGGGUUAGGGUUAGGGUUAGGGUUAGGGUUGGAGCUAGGGUUAGGGUUAGGGUUGGAGUUAGGGUUAGUGUUGGAGCUAGGGUUAGGGUUGGGCUUGGAGCUAGGAUUUUUCUGAGUGCAAUGAACCAACUCCCGAGUCUCUAGGACGUUCCUAAAAAAAUUUGAUUUUUUCCCAUAGGAAUGCAUGGGUUAGGGUUAUGGUUAGGGUUAGGGUUGGAGCUAGGGUUAGGGUUAGGGUUAGGGUUGGAGUUAGGGUUAGUGUUGGAGCUAGGGUUAGGGUUGGGCUUGGAGCUAGGAUUUUUCUGAGUGCACUGAACCAACUCCCGAGUCUCUAGGACAUUCCUAAAAAAAUUUGAUUUUUUCCCAUAGGAAUGCAUGGGUUAGGGUUAGGGUUAGGGUUGGAGCUAGGGUUAGGGUUAGGGUUAGGGUUGGAGUUAGGGUUAGUGUUGGAGCUAGGGUUAGGGUUGGGCUUGGAGCUAGGAUUUUUCUGAGUGCACUGAACCAACUCCCGAGUCUCUAGGACAUUCCUAAAAAAAUUUGAUUUUUUCCCAUAGGAAUGCAUGGGUUAGGGUUAGGGUUAGGGUUGGAGCUAGGGUUAGGGUUAGGGUUAGGGUUGGAGUUAGGGUUAGUGUUGGAGCUAGGGUUAGGGUUGGGCUUGGAGCUAGGAUUUUUCUGAGUGCACUGAACCAACUCCCGAGUCUCUAGGACAUUCCUAAAAAAAUUUGAUUUUUUCCCAUAGGAAUGCAUGGGUUAGGGUUAUGGUUAGGGUUAGGGUUGGAGCUAGGGUUAGGGUUAGGGUUAGGGUUGGAGUUAGGGUUAGUGUUGGAGCUAGGGUUAGGGUUGGGCUUGGAGCUAGGAUUUUUCUGAGUGCACUGAACCAACUCCCGAGUCUCUUGGACGUUCCUAAAAAAAAUUUGAUUUUUUCCCAUAGGAAUGCAUGGGUUAGGGUUAGGGUUAGGGUUGGAGCUAGGGUUAGGGUUAGGGUUAGGGUUGGAGUUAGGGUUAGUGUUGGAGCUAGGGUUAGGGUUGGGCUUGGAGCUAGGAUUUUUCUGAGUGCACUGAACCAACUCCCGAGUCUCUAGGACGUUCCUAAAAAAAUUUGAUUUUUUCCCAUAGGAAUGCAUGGUUGGGUUAGGGUUAGGGUUAGGGUUGGAGCUAGGGUUAGGGUUAGGGUUAGGGUUGGAGUUAGGGUUAGUGUUGGAGCUAGGGUUAGGGUUGGGCUUGGAGCUAGGAUUUUUCUGAGUGCACUGAACCAACUCCCGAGUCUCUAGGACAUUCCUAAAAAAAUUUGAUUUUUUCCCAUAGGAAUGCAUGGGUUAGGGUUAGGGUUAGGGUUGGAGCUAGGGUUAGGGUUAGGGUUAGGGUUGGAGUUAGGGUUAGUGUUGGAGCUAGGGUUAGGGUUGGGCUUGGAGCUAGGAUUUUUCUGAGUGCACUGAACCAACUCCCGAGUCUCUAGGACAUUCCUAAAAAAAUUUGAUUUUUUCCCAUAGGAAUGCAUGGGUUAGGGUUAUGGUUAGGGUUAGGGUUGGAGCUAGGGUUAGGGUUAGGGUUAGGGUUGGAGUUAGGGUUAGUGUUGGAGCUAGGGUUAGGGUUGGGCUUGGAGCUAGGAUUUUUCUGAGUGCACUGAACCAACUCCCGAGUCUCUAGGACAUUCCUAAAAAAAUUUGAUUUUUUCCCAUAGGAAUGCAUGGGUUAGGGUUAUGGUUAGGGUUAGGGUUGGAGCUAGGGUUAGGGUUAGGGUUAGGGUUAGGGUUAGGGUUGGAGUUAGGGUUAGUGUUGGAGCUAGGGUUAGGGUUGGGCUUGGAGCUAGGAUUUUUCUGAGUGCACUGAACCAACUCCCGAGUCUCUAGGACAUUCCUAAAAAUUUGAUUUUUUCCCAUAGGAAUGCAUGGGUUAGGGUUAUGGUUAGGGUUAGGGUUGGAGCUAGGGUUAGGGUUAGGGUUAGGGUUGGAGUUAGGGUUAGUGUUGGAGCUAGGGUUAGGGUUGGGCUUGGAGCUAGGACUUUUCUGAGUGCAAUGAACCAACUCCCGAGUCUCUAGGACGUUCCUAAAAAAAUUUGAUUUUUUUCCCAUAGGAAUGCAUGGGUUAGGGUUAGGGUUAGGGUUGGAGCUAGGGUUAGGGUUAGGGUUAGGGUUGGAGUUAGGGUUAGUGUUGGAGCUAGGGUUAGGGUUGGGCUUGGAGCUAGGAUUUUUCUGAGUGCACUGAACCAACUCCCGAGUCUCUAGGACAUUCCUAAAAAAAUUUGAUUUUUUCCCAUAGGAAUGCAUGGGUUAGGGUUAGGGUUAGGGUUGGAGCUAGGGUUAGGGUUAGGGUUAGGGUUGGAGUUAGGGUUAGUGUUGGAGCUAGGGUUAGGGUUGGGCUUGGAGCUAGGAUUUUUCUGAGUGCACUGAACCAACUCCCGAGUCUCUAGGACAUUCCUAAAAAAAUUUGAUUUUUUUCCCAUAGGAAUGCAUGGGUUAGGGUUAUGGUUAGGGUUAGGGUUGGAGCUAGGGUUAGGGUUAGGGUUAGGGUUGGAGUUAGGGUUAGUGUUGGAGCUAGGGUUAGGGUUGGGCUUGGAGCUAGGAUUUUUCUGAGUGCAAUGAACCAACUCCCGAGUCUCUUGGACGUUCCUAAAAAAAUUUGAUUUUUUCCCAUAGGAAUGCAUGGGUUAGGGUUAGGGUUAGGGUUGGAGCUAGGGUUAGGGUUAGGGUUAGGGUUGGAGUUAGGGUUAGUGUUGGAGCUAGGGUUAGGGUUGGGCUUGGAGCUAGGAUUUUUCUGAGUGCACUGAACCAACUCCCGAGUCUCUAGGACGUUCCUAAAAAAAUUUGAUUUUUUCCCAUAGGAAUGCAUGGGUUAGGGUUAGGGUUAGGGUUGGAGCUAGGGUUAGGGUUAGGGUUAGGGUUGGAGUUAGGGUUAGUGUUGGAGCUAGGGUUAGGGUUGGGCUUGGAGCUAGGAUUUUUCUGAGUGCACUGAACCAACUCCCGAGUCUCUAGGACAUUCCUAAAAAAAUUUGAUUUUUUCCCAUAGGAAUGCAUGGGUUAGGGUUAGGGUUAGGGUUGGAGCUAGGGUUAGGGUUAGGGUUAGGGUUGGAGUUAGGGUUAGUGUUGGAGCUAGGGUUAGGGUUGGGCUUGGAGCUAGGAUUUUUCUGAGUGCACUGAACCAACUCCCGAGUCUCUAGGACAUUCCUAAAAAAAUUUGAUUUUUUCCCAUAGGAAUGCAUGGGUUAGUUAUGGUUAGGGUUAGGGUUGGAGCUAGGGUUAGGGUUAGGGUUAGGGUUGGAGUUAGGGUUAGUGUUGGAGCUAGGGUUAGGGUUGGGCUUGGAGCUAGGAUUUUUCUGAGUGCACUGAACCAACUCCCGAGUCUCUAGGACAUUCCUAAAAAAAUUUGAUUUUUUCCCAUAGGAAUGCAUGGGUUAGGGUUAUGGUUAGGGUUAGGGUUGGAGCUAGGGUUAGGGUUAGGGUUAGGGUUGGAGUUAGGGUUAGUGUUGGAGCUAGGGUUAGGGUUGGGCUUGGAGCUAGGAUUUUUCUGAGUGCACUGAACCAACUCCCGAGUCUCUAGGACAUUCCUAAAAAAAUUUGAUUUUUUCCCAUAGGAAUGCAUGGGUUAGGGUUAGGGUUAGGGUUGGAGCUAGGGUUAGGGUUAGGGUUAGGGUUGGAGUUAGGGUUAGUGUUGGAGCUAGGGUUAGGGUUGGGCUUGGAGCUAGGAUUUUUCUGAGUGCAAUGAACCAACUCCCGAGUCUCUAGGACGUUCCUAAAAAAAUUUGAUUUUUUCCCAUAGGAAUGCAUGGGUUAGGGUUAGGGUUAGGGUUGGAGCUAGGGUUAGGGUUAGGGUUAGGGUUGGAGUUAGGGUUAGUGUUGGAGCUAGGGUUAGGGUUGGGCUUGGAGCUAGGAUUUUUCUGAGUGCACUGAACCAACUCCCGAGUCUCUAGGACAUUCCUAAAAAAAUUUGAUUUUUUCCCAUAGGAAUGCAUGGGUUAGGGUUAUGGUUAGGGUUAGGGUUGGAGCUAGGGUUAGGGUUAGGGUUAGGGUUGGAGUUAGGGUUAGUGUUGGAGCUAGGGUUAGGGUUGGGCUUGGAGCUAGGAUUUUUCUGAGUGCACUGAACCAACUCCCGAGUCUCUAGGACAUUCCUAAAAAAAUUUGAUUUUUUCCCAUAGGAAUGCAUGGGUUAGGGUUAUGGUUAGGGUUAGGGUUGGAGCUAGGGUUAGGGUUAGGGUUAGGGUUGGAGUUAGGGUUAGUGUUGGAGCUAGGGUUAGGGUUGGGCUUGGAGCUAGGAUUUUCUGAGUGCACUGAACCAACUCCCGAGUCUCUAGGACAUUCCUAAAAAAAUUUGAUUUUUUCCCAUAGGAAUGCAUGGGUUAGGGUUAUGGUUAGGGUUAGGGUUGGAGCUAGGGUUAGGGUUAGGGUUAGGGUUAGGGUUGGAGUUAGGGUUAGUGUUGGAGCUAGGGUUAGGGUUGGGCUUGGAGCUAGGAUUUUUCUGAGUGCACUGAACCAACUCCCGAGUCUCUAGGACAUUCCUAAAAAAAUUUGAUUUUUUUCCCAUAGGUAUGCAUGGGUUAGGGUUAGGGUUAGGGUUAGGGUUGGAGCUAGGGUUAGGGUUAGGGUUAGGGUUGGAGUUAGGGUUAGUGUUGGAGCUAGGGUUAGGGUUGGGCUUGGAGCUAGGAUUUUUCUGAGUGCAAUGAACCAACUCCCGAGUCUCUAGGACGUUCCUAAAAAAAUUUGAUUUUUUCCCAUAGGAAUGCAUGGGUUAGGGUUAGGGUUAGGGUUGGAGCUAGGGUUAGGGUUAGGGUUAGGGUUGGAGUUAGGGUUAGUGUUGGAGCUAGGGUUAGGGUUGGGCUUGGAGCUAGGAUUUUCUGAGUGCACUGAACCAACUCCCGAGUCUCUAGGACAUUCCUAAAAAAAUUUGAUUUUUUCCCAUAGGAAUGCAUGGGUUAGGGUUAGGGUUAGGGUUGGAGCUAGGGUUAGGGUUAGGGUUAGGGUUGGAGUUAGGGUUAGUGUUGGAGCUAGGGUUAGGGUUGGGCU
RNAcentral lists this long non-coding RNA (25799 nucleotides) under Xyrichtys novacula (pearly razorfish). Lineage: Eukaryota; Metazoa; Chordata; Actinopteri; Labriformes; Labridae. The record is from RNAcentral.